CAUUUCUUGGGCCACUCUCGCAGCAUAUGGAGGUUCCCACACUAGGGGUCGAAUCAGAGCUGUAGCCACCAGCCUACGCCAGAGCCACAGCAACGCAGGAUCCGAGCCAAGUCUGCAACCUACACCACAGCUCACAGCAAUGCUGGAUCCCUAACCCACUGAGCAAGGGCAGGGAUCGAACCCAUAACCUCAUGGUUCCUAGUCAGAUUCAUUAACCACUGUGCCACGACAGGAACUCCCUGCUACCUAAUUUAAAUUGAAGUGAUUUGACCCUAUGAAGUAGGUGAUUCACAGCUAUGCUCUCCCUUCCUCUGAUAGCUAGUUCCAUUUUAAGACAAAGCAUUGAUUUAAUAAUAAAAGGAGCAAGUGUUUAUGGUACAAAUGAUGUAGACGGUAUAAAAAUGUCUUAUAGCCCAACACAGAUCACAGACAGAGUAAAGACCUGGCCAUCACCUCAACUAUAGCUGCACUUAAGAUAUGUAAAAGAAGCCUAUUAAAAUAAAAACUUUGCAAAUAAAGUGCCAAUAGCUAAAAAUGCUUUAGAAUGAAUAAAUUAUAUUGUCAGACUAGACUUGCUUACUGGAAGCUGGCAUUAUUAUUAACUACACAUUACUUUGGACAUCAAUUUUCUUUCAUUGUAAAACGCUAUGAACUUUUUUUAUUUAUUAAGAAUUAAAUCCUGUGGCUCAGGUUGUCUUUAUGUGUUAUCACUGACACGUGAUAUCUAAAAAAAGGAUACAACGGAACUUCUUUGCAGAACAGAUACUGACUCACAGACUUUAAAAAAACUUAUGGUUUCCAAAUGAGACAGGUUGGGGGGUGGGGGAAUGUGCUGGGGGUCUGGGAUGGAAAUGCUAUAAAACUGGGUUGUGAUGAUCACUUACAACUAUAAAUGGAAAAAAAAAUUCAUUGAGUAAUUAAAAAAAUUAAAAAUUGUCUUAAUUGUAUUCACCCCUUCCCCCAAAGAAAAUACUGUGAUAUUUGCUAAAGGUUCCUGGAUAUGAAAACACAGCAAAGGCCAACACUCUGAAAUAUGCCUUAUUUGUAUAGCAUGAUGUCAAAUAGCCAUAAAACAUGCCCUUCUGUGCAUUCAGCCCAGACCAGACCAUAGGUUUUAUGCUAGAAACUCAUAUCCAAAGAUGAAAGAGGCAAAGUCUUGUCAAAGAAGAACUCGCAAUUUAGAAUAAGUGGUCACAGCAUAGAACCAGGGCUAAAUUCAUCUACACACCAUUAGGUUUAUAACCCACUACUGUGUCAAGGUUUAAAACCAGAUGCUCAUAUUGGGCCCUAAUACUCUUGACUUCACAAAGAUGUUACAAAAAUUCAUUGGUUAAGAUGUUCAACAUGAUUGAUCCAUAUUAGAUCCAUGGCGUUCAAUGACUUUGAAGAAUGGGUGAGAAACAGAACCACAAUCAGUCCUGGCUUUCACUCACCGUGGUUUAUUUCUGAAAAGACCUCACAGUGUAAUAUUAUUUGUCUCCCAAAUAAUAACACAAUUUCAUUCUUCCUUGGAGACUCUACCUUAGGAGGAAGCUUGGAUGCAUGAGCCAUUAGUACUAAUUAUUCUGUAAUGUCACAGGGCUUUGGAACAAUUACCACUAAGGUUACUGCUUGGAAACAGAAUAAUUACACUAAUUGGAGUUCAUCAGCUAUUCAAUCAUCUUCGUAGUAAACUAGCACAACUGAUGAGGUGAAAUUUAGUGUCCGUAAAUGGAAGUUAUCUCAUCUCAGCUGACAAAGGUGACUUUCAGAAGAUGUGUGCCCUCCGUGAAUAUAAUGUACUGUAGGCAGCCUUUGACAAUGAACAAAUAUGGAGUGCUUGGCAAGUCCCAGAACUGCUGUCCAGUAUUGUUAUGGGUCAAUGAAACUGACACAUCCCUGCCUUCUGGGUCUUUCCAUCUAGAGGAAUGGAGACAUUAAAUAAUCACAUCAGUUUUGAGAAGUGCAAGGAUAAAAACACCAAGUACUCUAAGAGGUAUGGGGGCAGGAAAGGCGGCUCUGAGAAAGUGGCAUUUAAGCUGAGGAGUAUUUGGACAGUGGGAAAAAGAAUAUUUCAGGCAGAAAAAUGAUGGCAAAGAGCUUGGAGCAUUGGGAGAACUGAAAGGCAAGCAGUAUGGGUGAGAAUGGAGAGUAGGUUAGAGUGAGAAUGAGAUUAGUCUGAAGAUCAUAGCAAAGGGUUCUGAUAUUGCAUUCUAAGUGUAACAGAAAAUCAUGCUAUCAAAGUCUUCAGCACAGGCACGCCAUGCUUAGAUUUAGAAGAAUAUUACAGUAGUAAUCAGGCAGAGGGGAUGGAUAAAGACUUCGACUAGGUUCAUGGCUUAAUGUAGAGAGAAAUGGAUGGAUGUGAGGGGUAAUUAAAAAGUAGACCUGAUAAAGCUUUUCUAAAGAGCCCAGUGUUCUGGAAUGAAUGGAAGAAGAGGUUAUUGACCAGAACACGUGCACUGAAAGACCUUAGACAACUGGCUUGAAAACAGAUGUUGCCUAAGUUAAAAGAGUUAAAAUAAAAAAAUUCUACAGUAACCUACAUUGCAGAUUUUAUGCAGAAAAUAAUUCACCAGUGACAUUUUUUAUGAAAGGUAUUAAGCAGUACCAAAUUUCAAUGAGUUUAGGGCUUGUGGUUCAUCUAGCAUCAUCAAAUUGAACUACUGUAUUCAAUUAGACCAUGGACUAAUGAGAUAAUAUUUUUAUUGCCAUAGUUAACAUGAUGUGACCUGAAGCUUGAAACAGAAAGGCAAUGAUUGAGUCAAGUGACAGGGCUUUUUCAAAAGGUGUAAACUGCUUUCUGAAAAAGAGGCUCUCAAAGAGUCAAAUGAAAACAUAACCACAUCCACAUUUGUUGAGAAUGCCCCUCAAAGAAUCCCUUCAGUAUCACUACUUAUUUUAUUACUUGGAAAGGCCCCAAAAUCCAUUAGCCUUGUCUUGUAUUGUCAUCAAAGCCCUCAUGUGACUCCUGACACUAACUUCCCAUCCUUAGUGUCCCACUGUAUAGAAAAUUACCAAAACUCCAACCAUUCUAACCACCUUUGCUUAAAGCCUGUAUCUUCCAAUGCCUUCAAGUCUCCAUCCAAUAAAACCUGCCCCAUAGUAAGAUACUGUGCAGGUGAAUCCUUCCUAAUAAGCAUGGAUGCUAGAAUAGGAUUUUAAACUGGCCUUGCCAUCUGGUCUACCCUUCCAUCUAGAGUAGGAGAGGCUCUUUACCAAGGCCACUUACUGGUAGAUUUUUAAAUGGGCUUUCCCAGAAUAAGCCUAUUUUAAUUUACUCAAGACUGGCUAGUGCUUUACAUAACAGGGACUAAAUAACUUCUUCUCUCUUUCUUUAUUCACUCCUGCCAUAUUUGGGUAUAGAGAAAACCAAAAAGGAAAGCCUUCAAGCAGAGGGAAAGCACGAUAAAGUCAUGCUAGAAGGAAAAAAUAGGUUUCACCACUUAUUAAUGCCUGCUGAUUGGUGGCAACUGCCUAGAACACUGUUAGGAAGGAUUCUAAGACCUCAUCCACGUACCCACCACGUCCAUCAUGAGCACAACAGAGGGUACCUGCAUAUAUCCUUUGCCAUCCCACUAUAAGGGAGCCACAGAAAUGGGCUUUGCCUCCCACAUAGGCUCUACCUUUUCUAGUGAGGUGCAUCUUAAGGAAAUUAACUUCUCUGCAUCUCAUGGUGUCAAAAGAAGACACUACUUAGGCUGGAUUCAUGAAGAUUACACCACAGCUGAUCCUACCCUCUACAUUCUUCCUGAGGGCAGGGAACAUCGUAAGGGGCUUCGUUCGAAUGUUCUUCACUGUAAACCAGCUUUCCUAAUAUGAAACGUCAUCUGUUAAAAGCUGAGCUGUAUCCCUCCAAAUUCCUAUGUUUUGACAUACUCAAAUUUCCAGUACUUCAACAUGGGACUGUAUUUAGAGAGAGAGCCUUUAUAAGGUAAAUUAAGUUAAAGUGAGGUCAUCAAGGUGGUUAAUCCAAUAGAAGUGGUGACCUUGUAUAAAAGGAAUUAGGACAUAGAGAAGAAGACCCUUCUUUAGGGGAGGACCCUUGAGGACACAGCAAGAAGGUGGCCACCUACAAGCCAGGGAGAGAGACCUCAGGGCAAAUCAAACCUGUCACCUUGAUUUUGAAGUUCCAGCCUCCCAGUCUGGGCUAUUCUGUUAGCGGAGCCCUAGCAGACUGCAAGCCAGGAGCAAAGCAUCCUUGUCUCUUCCAUUCCUAUUACUGUGUGAGCAUCUCUGCUCUCCUCUCCCUCCCCUUCUUCCUCAGGUUCUAGUCUCCUUUGCUCCCCUGAAAAGGCUAGAAGGAGGGGGCGCUGGGGCUUAGAAAGGAGGUUAUUGACUACUGAUCCAGAACAAUGCCAUUUUGCUUCCUGCAACGUAUUAAAAAUCCUGCCCACACAAGGGGAAUCAGACACUCUUAGGAACAGAAAGAAAUGACGUACCCCUCGCUCCAUCCAGACUUGUGGCUGCAAAAGCACCUAGCUGAAAUUUCCCUCAACUACAGCCAUUUCCUCCUUUUCAGAAGGAUGUUUUACAAAAUUUAGUAUGAAGUAAGAAAUGCUAUUGCUCUCAAGUGCCUCUCCCUCUCUCAAGAUGAGACUGUUUUUUUUGUUUGUUUGUUUGUUUUUUGUUUUUUUAAGGGAUGCACCCACGGCAUAUGGAAGUUCCCAGGUCAGGGGUCAAAUUGGAGCUGUAGCUGCCUGCCUACACCACAGCCACCGAAACAUGGGAACCUUAACCCACUGAGUGAGGCCAGGGAUCGAAUCCAUAACCUUGUGGUUCCUAGUGGGAUUCAUUUCCGCUGCACCACAAUGGGAACUCGAUGAUGGAGCUGUUUUUUAAUUAGGCAGGGUGGUAAUUAAGUGCAUUAUCAGAAUCAGAUUUCAAUGAAAUUCAUCCCCAGCCACUUACACCUCACACUAACCAUGCUGCAUAUUAGUGACCUAAGGCAUUUAUUCUAGCAGUUAUUUUCUCUACCAGGUAAACUAUGCAAACAAUGGCUAACGUGUCAGGGCCUGCCGGAUUCCCAAGCUGUGUGCUGCUAACAUUAGCUGCAUUAUACGAUUCUGUCUCAAUACCCUAAAGGGCUUGGGGGCAGGUGUUUGAUUUUUAGACAUAUUUCCCCCAGAUCACACCCUCUUCCAAUAGGAAUCAUGCCCAACUUAAAACUGGCUUGAGAUGGGGUUUUUUUGUUGUCGUUGUUGUUGUUUUCCACUCCCCUUAGAAACAGCAAUAACACUUUUUGUAGUGUUACUUCAUUUUGGACUUUACCUUUGAUCUGGAAUUCUUGGCUAACUUACUGCAGAAACGACAAAGGAUCCUCCUUAGGUGGCAUGCCUGGCCACGGGGAUCAAUACCAGAAAGAGUCAUGCAAGCAGCAGCUCUUGGUCUGAAAGAAGGCAGGUUAAAGGGGGUCGGCGGGAGCACAAAUCCUAAUCUGCGGCAAAUCCUAACUUGUCAAGUGCUUCCUCCAAUCACCACUUCUCCCCCUACCACGGUAAUAAGAGGUAACACGGGCAUAUUCCCAUUGCCGAAAAUAAGGAGACAGUCAAAGAAUGUUACUAUUGACAACAUCAAAGUUUAAAGCACA
This 5569-nucleotide long non-coding RNA is filed under the name Sus scrofa (pig). Its description in RNAcentral is "lncRNA (ENSSSCG00005040682.1)". Lineage: Eukaryota; Metazoa; Chordata; Mammalia; Artiodactyla; Suidae. The record is from RNAcentral.